GAGGGUGACAGGUGGUGCAUGGUUGUCGUCAGCUCGUGUCGUGAGAUGUUGGGUUAAGUCCCGCAACCGAGCGCAACCCUCGACCUUAGUUGCCAGCAUUCAGUUGGCACUCUAAGGUGACUGCCGGCUAAAAGUCGGAGGAAGGUGGGGAUGACGUCAAAUCAUCAUGCCCCUUAUGACCUGGGCUACACACGUGCUACAAUGGGCGGUACAAAGGGUCGCGAACCCGCGAGGGGGGAGCCAAUCCCAAAAAGCCGCUCUCAGUUCGGAUUGCAGGCUGCAACUCGCCUGCAUGAAGCCGGAAUCGCUAGUAAUCGCGGAUCAGCAUGCCGCGGUGAAUACGUUCCCGGGCCUU
This 355-nucleotide ribosomal RNA is filed under the name uncultured Anoxybacillus sp. RNAcentral describes it as "bacterial SSU rRNA". It matches the Rfam family "Bacterial small subunit ribosomal RNA", at positions 1027 to 1382 of the family's 1533-position model. Lineage: Bacteria; Bacillati; Bacillota; Bacilli; Caryophanales; Anoxybacillaceae. The record is from RNAcentral.